Silurus meridionalis is the source of this 699-nucleotide long non-coding RNA. RefSeq lists it as uncharacterized. The transcript is spliced from 6 exons. The record is from RefSeq and is a predicted model, not a curated record. Lineage: Eukaryota; Metazoa; Chordata; Actinopteri; Siluriformes; Siluridae.
GGUGGGUGUGGAGACCACGCUGGAGCGAAACCAGAUCACACGUGACCACAUGGGUCAUCUGUUCCAUCAGCUGCUGCAGGCUGGGAUCCUCUCCACAUCUCAGUUUUUUAAAGGGUUCUCAGAAACCCUCGAGAUAGCAGAUGAUAUGGCGAUUGACAUUCCUUAUGUAUGGCAGUACAUAGCGGAGCUCGUUAAUCCUGUGCUUCGAAGGAGGAAUCUCUUUGAGAGAAUUAUUAAUUGAAUUUAGCAAACCACUACUUCCUGUGGCAAGAGCCGGCAUAUUAUUUGCAAAAAUAUUGCACCUUCUCUGCAAACAAAUGAGCCAAAAGGAAGUGGAGGCCUUAUGGAGGGACUCUAAACUGAGCUGGGCUGAUUUUCUUCCUGAAACCGUGGAUGGGAACAACUUCAUUACUGAGCAGCCCUGAUGAAGUCUGAUGACCUGAAGAGGGUGGAGCUGAGACUUCAGACAGCAGACGGACUUCUGAGGAGGAACAUCAGCACCACACGAGAGGUGGCAGCAGGAUGGGGGCAGGUCAUGACGUGGAAAGGAGACUCUCUGCUUGCAGGCUUCCUGUGACGUAGCUUCCUGUGUUUGACUGUGUUUUUAAACAAACUUUACUAUUUAUCUCUCCUUUUUUCCUCUUUUAAUAAUCCUAAAUUGUUUUUGUCUUCCUGUCUUGUGCCUGUAGUUAGUUAACU